AUUGAACGCUGGCGGCAGGCUUAACACAUGCAAGUCGAGCGGGGGAAGGUAGCUUGCUACCGGACCUAGCGGCGGACGGGUGAGUAAUGCUUAGGAAUCUGCCUAUUAGUGGGGGACAACAUCUCGAAAGGGAUGCUAAUACCGCAUACGUCCUACGGGAGAAAGCAGGGGAUCUUCGGAGCUUGCGCUAAUAGAUGAGCCUAGGUCGGAUUAGCUAGUUGGUGGGGUAAAGGCCUACCAAGGCGACGAUCUGUAGCGGGUCUGAGAGGAUGAGCCGCCACACUGGGACUGAGACACGGCCCAGACUCCUACGGGAGGCAGCAGUGGGGAAUAUUGGACAAUGGGGGGAACCCUGAUCCAGCCAUGCCGCGUGUGUGAAGAAGGCCUUAUGGUUGUAAAGCACUUUAAGCGAGGAGGAGGCUACUUUAGUUAAUACCUAGAGAUAGUGGACGUUACUCGCAGAAUAAGCACCGGCUAACUCUGUGCCAGCCGCCGCAGUAA
This 501-nucleotide ribosomal RNA is filed under the name uncultured bacterium. Its description in RNAcentral is "partial 16S ribosomal RNA". It matches the Rfam family "Bacterial small subunit ribosomal RNA", at positions 30 to 523 of the family's 1533-position model. The record is from RNAcentral.